AUUUUUUUCAAAUCGUUAUGUGUUGCAUCAUUGCUAUUUUUAACUUGUUUUGUAAAAACAGAUUGAAAUUUUAAUAUUUUUUAUGUGUAAAAGUUAUAAUAUUAAAAUAUUUAUUUAUGAUAUAUAUAUGUUAAUAUGGUUAGUUGUUCAUGUUUUACUUAGCCAUGACAUUGAUCAACAGAAAUUGAAUAAAGAAUAUGAAAAAGUCAUGUCAAACAUUUUAAAUGAACUUUGCAUCAAUCUCUUUCUAUGUAAUGAGCUUUACAUCAAUCUCUUUCUAUGUACAAAGAAAAUAUUUAAAUGUUAAAAUCCCUCAAAACGUAUUUAAAAAAAAUUGUGAUUUUUUAUUAAAAAUUCAGCAGUAAUAAAUUUUUGGUAUCCAGUUGGUCAUUUUAGUUGCUAACUCUAUUAAAAUGUGAUUUUGGAUUACAUUUAGAAAGAAGGAAAAAAAAGAGAAUUUAAAGACAACUGUAUGUAAAAUAAGAAUUGUCUCAAAGCUGUCUCAGUUUGGUUUUAUAAUGACUUGUGGGAAACCAGUUGUUCUUUAUUUUAAUAGAUACACUAGUUCAAGGUCAUAUACAAAUUUGAAAAACAUUUACCCUGUCUUAAAUACUUUAAUAUUUUAAAACGAUGUUGUUUUAAUCAAUGAAAUUAAAGGAUAAACUGUUUAGAUGCAAGAAAACAGCAUAGACUGUAUAGUCCAUUGUGAUAUACAGUCACUGACUGUUAAUUGCCUUUUUCUGACGUUCACAAUGUGUUUCUGUAGUCUUAAAAAUGAAUAAUAAAAUGCAAUUGACAGUACACAGAGUUUUUAUACAAUUACUUAAUUAUAAUUUAAGUCCUUUUAAAAUUUAGUUUUUCAUAACAUUAGAUGCCUAUAUUUUUUUUUAUCAGAUUUCAAUUGAAUGGUUUCAUUACACUGUCAACAGUUAAGCAUGGUUUAACAACAAUGACGAAAAAGUAAUCUCAUAGUAGACAAAAAUAUAAAUUAAUGUAACUUUGUUAUGGUGAUCUCAGUAGUGAUAUUUUGUUAGGAUUUUGACAUUUUGUAUGGUAAUGAUAUUUUUUUUUAUGUGGAUUCAUUUAUUUUUCGUGUGUACCAAUUUUCAUGGAUUGCGGAAAACUGCCAUUUUCAUGGAUUUUUGAUUUUUCGUGGUUUUCCAAAAGUCUGCAUAUAACCACAGAGCAAAUUUGUAAUUUAUUGAACAUUACACUUUGAGGUUUCCAUGUACCCACUAGUUCCACGAACAUUAGUAUCCAAUGAAUAAUAACUUUAGAGUUGAGACAUUGUGCAUGUUUUUAUUGAUUUGACCAUGUCCAUGUUAUUGACACAGUGUGCAUGUUUAUGUUAGAGUUGAGACAUUGUGCAUGUUUUUAUUGAUUUGACCAUGUCCAUGUUAUUGUACAGUUUUGAUACAAUAAAGCCUUUGUGAUAAAUGUGACCAAUGAUGUACCUCAUUUAAACAAAUUACAUAUUUUAUCUUUCAUUCAUCAACCAUACAAAUUGAUAUUAUCAAAACUUUUGGUUUUAUUGUGAAAACUGGCUCACCAUAUACUUAGAUUUGUGCAAAUCAUAGAAUAACCAUUGAUUGAUAUAUGAGCUGUUUUCAGGUAAAAUUUCUUAGCUGUUGAAAUCAACAUAAAAGUGAAUCCGAUGACUGGUUCCCACAGGAGCAUUUCAAUGUUAGCAGGUUUCAGUUUAAAACAAGAACUAUCUUUAAAAAAGAUAUCCGACGUAUUUAAAUUUGAGUAUUUAGGUUUAAAACUAUCAUUUCGAUAACCUUCAGAAGCACAAAUAUACCAUUUAAAUUACGUUUUCUCUGUUUGUGUUCAGUAUUCUCGGUCCUCGUAUCUUUCUGUUGUUUACAUUCACCAAAACCCCGCGGAAAUCUCACAUUCAAAGGUGCGUUCUAAAAGUCAUGUACGUUCGUACAACAAAGUUUACAUUAAAAUUAUAUAAUUGUCCCGAAUAAACAGCUGUCACGGAUGCAAAGAGCUAUUGGAGAAAUAAUUAUUUUAAUAAAAAAAUAUAAAAUAUAAAUAUUUGUAAGAUCUAGUUCAAAUAUUUAUAGUUUUUCACUUGCUUUCCAUCACGAUAUGAUUAACGAGACGUUUUUUCAAACACAACCAAAUCGCCCACCAUGACAGCAUUUUGUCCAAUCACAGAAAGGAUUUUCGAGUGCAUAUUCUGUUGCCAUAGUUAAGCGUCCUUAAGUUCAAAGGACACAAACCGAAACUAAUACCGACUACGUCGGAAAAAUCUUUGGUAUCACUUCAAUACUGUGAAUUCAAUUCUAUUCUAGGAGUACCAAUUUUUAUGGAUUCAUGGGUAUAGGUAAACCACAAAUUAAAAUUUUAAAAUUAUAAAUUUUUUAUCAGCUGAUCACCAAACUGUGGCAAAACCAUGAAAUCAAAUAUCUACUAAGAUGCAAUUCUUCCUCAUCCACAAAAGUUGGUACUAACAAAAAUAAAUGAAUUCACAGUAGAUUUGCUUAGUCAGAAGAUAUUAGGCAUAUGGUAUGUUAGUUACCACAAUUAUAUCAAGUUUCACAUAUUAUAUAUACAAGUAUGUAUAUUUUAUCUUGAAUAAUUUUGAUAUUUUAGAGUAUAUAUGUGAAAUUUUUACCAAGUUUUCAGUAGAGAAAUCAAAUUUAAAUAUGCUUAUAUUAAACUGCUUUGAUUUUUUAUACGACCGCAAAAAUUUUAAUUGUAUUGCUAUCACGUUGGCGUCGUCGUCGUCCGAAUACUUUUAGUUUUCGCACUCUAACUUUAGUAAAAGGGAAUAGAAAUGAAUGAAAUUUUAACACAAGGUUUAUGACCACAAAAGGAAGGUUGGGAUUGAUUUUGGGAGUUUUGGUCCCAACAUUUUAGGAAUUAGGGGCCAAAAAGGGCCCAAAUAAGCAUUUUCUUGGUUUUCGCACUAUAACUUUAGUUUAAGUGAAUAGAAAUCUAUGAAAUUUUGACACAAGGUUUAUGACCACAAAAGGAAGGUUGGGUUUGAUUUUGGGAGUUUUGGUCCUAACAGUUUAGGAAUAAGGGGCCCAAAGGGUCCAAAAUUGAACUUUGUGUGAUUUCAUCAAAAAUUAAAUAAUUGGGGUUCUUUGAUAUGCCGAAUCUAACUAUGUAUGUAGAUUCUUAAUUUUUGGUCCAGUUUUCUAAUUGGUCUACAUUAAGGUCCAAAGGGUCCAAAAUUAAACUUAGUUUGAUUUUAACAAAAAUUGAAUCCUUGGGGUUCUUUGAUAUGCUGAAUUUAAAAAUGUACUUAGAUUUUAAUUAUUGGCCUAGUUUUCAAGUUGGUCCAAAUGGGGGUCCAAAAUUAAACUUUGUUUGAUUUCAUCAAAAAUUGAAUAAAUGGGUUCUUUGAUAUGCCAAAUCUAACUGUGUAUGUAGAUUCUUAAUUUUGGUCCAGUUUUCAAAUUGGUCUACAUUAAGGUCCAAAGGGUCCAAAAUUAAACUAAGUUUGAUUUUAACAAAAAUUAAAUUCUUGGGCUUAUUUGAUAUGCUUUAUCUAAAUAUGUACUUUGAUUUUUGAUUAUGGGUCCAGUUUUCAAGUUGGUCCAAAUCAGGAUUCCAUAUCAAGUAUUGUGCAAUAGCAAGAAAUUUUCAAUUGCACAGUAUUGCACAAUAGCAAGAAAUUUAAUUGCACAAUAUUGUGCAAUAGCAAUUAAUUUUCAAUUGGAGUUAUCUUUCUUUGUAUAGAAUAGUAGUUGAUAAUAUAUGCUGGAAAUUUGCCAGACAUGACUAUGAUGUCAUUUCUAUUUUUAUUUGCCAACAACUUUAUGUAAAUAACUUCAUUGGAAAUUUUUGCCAAUAUAAAUGUUGCUGAUGAAGUUUUUUUUUAUUGUUUUAUACAAUAAACAAUGUAUAUUCACUUUUACUACCAACCAAUCUUUACCAUUCAGUGAUAACAAGCACUUUAUUUUACAUUUUAAUAUUUUAUGAUGUAUUUAAAAGAGUAGUUAUUGUUGCAAACUCCAUUAGAAAUUUGAAUUGAUAUCAGUUUUGGAAAAAGGAAAACGGGGAUGUGAAAAAAAAGGGGGAGGGGGGGUAAAUUUUUCUCAUUUCAGAUUUCAUAAAUAAAAAGAAAAUUUCUUCAAACAUUUUUUGAGAGGAUUAAUAUUCAACAGCAUAGUGAAUUGCUCAUAGGCAAAAAAAAAAUUUUAAGUUCAUUAGACCACAUUCAUUCUGUGUCAGAAACCUAUGCUGUGUCAACUAUUUAAUUUUAGAUUUAAAAAGUUUGAAGAAGAAAUCUUUAAUUGAUUUGUAAAAUCUUGACAUUUGUUUUGUGUAAAAAAAAACCAUGUAAUGUCAAAAAUUUGAUCACAAUCCAAAUUCAGAGCUGUAUCACGCUUGAAUGUUUUGUCCAUACUUGCCCCAACUGUUCAGGGUUCGACCUCUGCGGUCGUAUAAAGCUGCGCCCUGCGGAGCACCUGGUUUACAUUUAGAAAAAAAUGCUGAUUACUUAAAAGUAAUGAAAAGGUUCUCUUCCGAAAUAAGUAAGAAGAUUUAGAAGUGAAUACGGUUUCCUCAAUUUUACUGUAUUUGUGUUAUUUGGCAGUGAGCAUCGUAAAUUAUUUUUUGAUAUGUUUUUAAAUAAAACCAAGAUGUGUUAAUUUAUGCAUACAUGUGUCAAAGCAAGGGUUUGUUUUUUAAAGGACAACUUUCAUUUUAACUGACAAUUAUGAAGUCAAUGUCAGUGUUAUGUAAUUGUCCGAUCAGCUUUUUCAAUAUGUAAGAACAAUUUUAUGUACUUAAAUUUUGAAGUGUCUUGGUAUGGCAUUCUGUGUUGCAUAAGAAGUGCUAAAGGACUGGGAUGACUAUUUAUCAUUCUGUUUAUAAUUCAAUGAUUAUGUUUAGAUUAUAUUGUUAAAGCUUGA
RNAcentral lists this long non-coding RNA (4877 nucleotides) under Mytilus galloprovincialis (Mediterranean mussel). Lineage: Eukaryota; Metazoa; Mollusca; Bivalvia; Mytilida; Mytilidae. The record is from RNAcentral.